RNAcentral lists this transfer RNA (87 nucleotides) under Deinococcus aetherius. RNAcentral's name for it is "tRNA-Ser". The stretch from base 7 to 82 matches the Rfam family "tRNA", at positions 6 to 65 of the family's 71-position model. Rfam says of the family: Transfer RNA (tRNA) molecules are approximately 80 nucleotides in length. Their secondary structure includes four short double-helical elements and three loops (D, anti-codon, and T loops). Lineage: Bacteria; Thermotogati; Deinococcota; Deinococci; Deinococcales; Deinococcaceae. The record is from RNAcentral.
CAAUGGGGUGCCCGAGUGGUUGAAGGGGCACGCCUGGAAAGCGUGUGUACGGGCAACCGUACCGAGAGUUCGAAUCUCUCCCGUUCC